RNAcentral lists this small RNA (423 nucleotides) under Pan troglodytes (chimpanzee). RNAcentral describes it as "processed transcript". Lineage: Eukaryota; Metazoa; Chordata; Mammalia; Primates; Hominidae. The record is from RNAcentral.
CGGCCGCCGCCUCCAACUGGGGGCUGAUCACGAACAUCGUGAACAGCAUCGUAGGGGUCAGUGUCCUCACCAUGCCCUUCUGCUUCAAACAGUGCGGCAUCGUCCUGGGGGCGCUGCUCUUGGUCUUCUGCUCCUGGAUGACGCACCAGUCGUGCAUGUUCUUGGUGAAGUCGGCCAGCCUGAGCAAGCGGAGGACCUACGCCGGCCUGGGCCCACGCAAGCUUCCUCUUCUAAACUCAGACUGAGACAGCCGUCCUCACGGUGCUGGUGCAGACCUGCUCUCUCUGUGUCUCUCCUGGACACCAGAUGCCUUCCCGCGGAGCUGCCUGCAGAGAGCCUUGCUGUUCUCCCCAACUCGGAAUUCCAUGGAGGAAGCUCCUCAGGCCCGGGCUGUUGCUAGAGUUCAGUGGCUUCUCUCCCAGU